This 465-nucleotide ribosomal RNA is filed under the name uncultured bacterium. RNAcentral describes it as "bacterial SSU rRNA". It matches the Rfam family "Bacterial small subunit ribosomal RNA", at positions 338 to 795 of the family's 1533-position model. The record is from RNAcentral.
CCUACGGGGCGCACCAGUGGGGAAUAUUGCACAAUGGGCGCAAGCCUGAUGCAGCCAUGCCGCGUGUGUGAAGAAGGCCUUCGGGUUGUAAAGCACUUUCAGCGGGGAGGAAGGCGAUAAGGUUAAUAACCUUGUCGAUUGACGUUACCCGCAGAAGAAGCACCGGCUAACUCCGUGCCAUCAGCCGCGGUAAUACGGAGGGUGCAAGCGUUAAUCGGAAUUACUGGGCGUAAAGCGCACGCAGGCGGUCUGUCAAGUCGGAUGUGAAAUCCCCGGGCUCAACCUGGGAACUGCAUUCGAAACUGGCAGGCUAGAGUCUUGUAGAGGGGGGUAGAAUUCCAGGUGUAGCGGUGAAAUGCGUAGAGAUCUGGAGGAAUACCGGUGGCGAAGGCGGCAACCUGGCUCGAUACUGACGCUGAGGCGCGAAAGCGUGGGGCGCAAACAGGAUUAGAUACCCCAGUAGUC